This 28-nucleotide non-coding RNA is filed under the name Homo sapiens (human). The record is from RNAcentral. Lineage: Eukaryota; Metazoa; Chordata; Mammalia; Primates; Hominidae.
UGGACCGUGCAAAGACAGUGCUGCCGUG